AGAGGGAUCCCUUCCUCUGCACUAGCAGCGUCACCUGAAAAACAACAACAUUUAACUGUUAUCUACCCUAUUUACCACCAAGGACGUACAUGGAAAGUGGAAUGAAAAAAAAUACAUUUUUUGAAGUGACCCCAAACUUUUGAAUGGUAUUGGAUAUACUGAGAGCUGUUGCAGCAAUUCAGGAGCCAAGUAGAGAGGAGGCUCGUCAAGAGGGGGCACUUGAAGAAGAGGCUCAGAAGAGUAAAGAUCUACAGUAUGUUAAAGCUAAGUAUGUUAAGUACAAUUUCACCAAUCUGAAAUGGUGGCAGCAUCUCACACUAUGCACUGGGAUCUGUGCCUCAAAUUCAAAGCACACUGCACAACAUGGCCUGAUAGUAGCCUUCACACUGGGCGAUUUCACAAGCCGAUUGUUUACACUCGUGAAAUAAACACUCGAGCCCCCUGCCUUCCUUCUCUACCUAAAUUCUGUGUUUACGAUAGCUAAAAAGACAUUGGUAGAAGUUGAAGGCCAUUAUCAUAACGUUGUUGACCCUCUCAUAUUGUGAGCAAGGGAGCCUUGACCUCCUCAUAUGGUGUCCUGAUGACAAGCAAUCUAGAAAAAAAAUCGGUAUGCUGUGACUCGUGGCAA
This is a long non-coding RNA of Oncorhynchus mykiss (rainbow trout), 628 nucleotides long. RefSeq lists it as uncharacterized. The record is from RefSeq and is a predicted model, not a curated record. NCBI's taxonomy places the organism in Eukaryota, Metazoa, Chordata, Actinopteri, Salmoniformes, Salmonidae.